CUCCGCGCCGGUGAGGACGGGGCAGGCGGGCGGCUCGCUGCGGCGGCGCCGACAUGGCUGCGCUGGUGGAGCCGCUAGGGCUGGAGCGGGACGUGUCCCGGGCCGUGGAGCUCCUCGAGCGGCUGCAACGCAGCGGGGAGCUGCCCCCGCAGAAGCUGCAGGCGCUCCAGCGAGUCCUGCAAAGCCGCUUCUGCUCCGCCAUCCGCGAGGUGUACGAGCAGCUCUAUGACACGCUGGACAUCACCGGCAGUGCCGAGAUCCGAGCUCACGCCACGGCCAAGGCCACAGUGGCCGCCUUCACAGCCAGCGAGGGCCAUGCACAUCCCAGGGUAGUGGAGCUGCCCAAGACCGACGAGGGGCUGGGCUUCAACAUCAUGGGUGGCAAAGAGCAGAACUCACCCAUCUACAUCUCCCGGGUCAUUCCUGGAGGCGUGGCUGAUCGCCAUGGAGGCCUCAAGCGCGGGGACCAGCUGCUGUCUGUGAAUGGUGUGAGUGUGGAGGGUGAGCAGCACGAGAAGGCCGUGGAGCUGCUGAAGGCCGCCCAGGGCUCCGUGAAGCUGGUGGUGCGCUACACCCCGCGAGUGCUGGAGGAGAUGGAGGCUCGCUUCGAGAAGAUGCGCUCCGCCCGCCGGCGCCAACAGCACCAGAGCUACUCGUGAGCCCAUGGCCAUCACACCCCUGGGGUCUCCACCGAUCCCCCUAGCCCCAGACCCUCAAAGCAGGUCCUUGGAGUCUCGAGGAUGAAACCCCAGAUCUGGACCCUUUUUCUUUCCCUCUCCCCAGUACAGUAUUUGUUGCCACUGGCUCUCUAUUUAAAGAUCUUUGACCCUCA
Perognathus longimembris pacificus (Pacific pocket mouse) is the source of this 832-nucleotide RNA transcript. It is a transcript of the gene named lin-7 homolog B, crumbs cell polarity complex component, with no coding region annotated. The record is from RefSeq and is a predicted model, not a curated record. NCBI's taxonomy places the organism in Eukaryota, Metazoa, Chordata, Mammalia, Rodentia, Heteromyidae. The transcript is spliced from 6 exons.